CAAGGAUGGCAUAACAAACUGGG
RNAcentral lists this non-coding RNA (23 nucleotides) under Cricetulus griseus (Chinese hamster). The record is from RNAcentral. Lineage: Eukaryota; Metazoa; Chordata; Mammalia; Rodentia; Cricetidae.